GACGAACGCUGGCGGCGUGCCUAAUACAUGCAAGUAGAACGCUGAAGAGAGGAGCUUGCUCUUCUUGGAUGAGUUGCGAACGGGUGAGUAACGCGUAGGUAACCUGCCUUGUAGCGGGGGAUAACUAUUGGAAACGAUAGCUAAUACCGCAUAACAAUGGAUGACCCAUGUCCUUUAUUUGAAAGGGGCAAAUGCUCCACUACAAGAUGGACCUGCGUUGUAUUAGCUAGUAGGUGAGGUAACGGCUCACCUAGGCGACGAUACAUAGCCGACCUGAGAGGGUGAUCGGCCACACUGGGACUGAGACACGGCCCAGACUCCUACGGGAGGCAGCAGUAGGGAAUCUUCGGCAAUGGGGGCAACCCUGACCGAGCAACGCCGCGUGAGUGAAGAAGGUUUUCGGAUCGUAAAGCUCUGUUGUAAGUCAAGAACGAGUGUGAGAGUGGAAAGUUCACACUGUGACGGUAGCUUACCAGAAAGGGACGGCUAACUACGUG
RNAcentral lists this ribosomal RNA (497 nucleotides) under uncultured bacterium. RNAcentral's name for it is "partial 16S ribosomal RNA". It matches the Rfam family "Bacterial small subunit ribosomal RNA", at positions 28 to 507 of the family's 1533-position model. The record is from RNAcentral.